This is a non-coding RNA of Schistosoma margrebowiei, 45 nucleotides long. The record is from Rfam. NCBI's taxonomy places the organism in Eukaryota, Metazoa, Platyhelminthes, Trematoda, Strigeidida, Schistosomatidae.
AUCCGGAUGACGAGUCCCAAAUAGGCCGAAACGGGCGUCUUGUAU